GACGAACGCUGGCGGCGUGCUUAACACAUGCAAGUCGAACGGAAAGGCCUCUUUCGGGGGGUACUCGAGUGGCGAACGGGUGAGUAACACGUGAGUAACCUGCCCUUGACUUUGGGAUAACUUCAGGAAACUGGGGCUAAUACCGGAUAGGAGCUCCUGCUGCAUGGUUGGGGUUGGAAAGUUUCGGCGGUUGGGGAUGGACUCGCGGCUUAUCAGCUUGUUGGUGGGGUAGUGGCUUACCAAGGCUUUGACGGGUAGCCGGCCUGAGAGGGUGACCGGCCACAUUGGGACUGAGAUACGGCCCAGACUCCUACGGGAGGCAGCAGUGGGGAAUAUUGCACAAUGGGUGGAAGCCUGAUGCAGCAACGCCGUGUGCGGGAUGACGGCCUUCGGGUUGUAAACCGCUUUCGCUCAUGACGAAGCUUUGUGUGACGGUAGUGGGUAAAGAAGCACCGGCUAACUACGUG
RNAcentral lists this ribosomal RNA (467 nucleotides) under uncultured bacterium. Its description in RNAcentral is "partial 16S ribosomal RNA". It matches the Rfam family "Bacterial small subunit ribosomal RNA", at positions 28 to 507 of the family's 1533-position model. The record is from RNAcentral.